GCCGAGGUGGCAGAAAGUGCGGUGGGUUGUAGCCCUAACAAUGCGACUAUAACGUCGUCUUCGGUA
This 66-nucleotide transfer RNA is filed under the name Anadara vellicata. Its description in RNAcentral is "tRNA-Tyr". The record is from RNAcentral. Lineage: Eukaryota; Metazoa; Mollusca; Bivalvia; Arcoida; Arcidae.